Molecule: ribosomal RNA, 326 nt
Filed under: uncultured Spirochaetota bacterium
Lineage: Bacteria; Pseudomonadati; Spirochaetota
Description: bacterial SSU rRNA
Rfam family: Bacterial small subunit ribosomal RNA
Source: RNAcentral
AACGAACGCUGGCGGCGUGUCUUAAGCAUGCAAGUCGAGCGGCAAGGCGGGGCAACCCGCCCUAGAGCGGCGGACUGGUGAGUAACGCGUGGGUGAUCUGCCCUUGGGUUGGGGAUAGCCAUUAGAAAUAGUGGGUAAUACCGAAUACGUUCCCUCGAUUGCGGUCGGGGGAGGAAAGGCGCUACGGCGCCGCCUUAGGAUGAGCCCGCGUCCCAUUAGCUAGUUGGUGAGGUAAUGGCCCACCAAGGCGAUGAUGGGUAGCCGGCCUGAGAGGGUGUACGGCCACACUGGGACUGAGAUACGGCCCAGACUCCUACGGUUGGCUG